GGAGGGAUGGCAGAGCGGACGAAUGCGGCGGCCUUGAAAGCCGUAGGGCCUUUAGGGGUCCCGGGGGUUCGAAUCCCCCUCCCUCCG
This 87-nucleotide transfer RNA is filed under the name bacterium. Its description in RNAcentral is "tRNA-Ser". It matches the Rfam family "tRNA". Rfam says of the family: Transfer RNA (tRNA) molecules are approximately 80 nucleotides in length. Their secondary structure includes four short double-helical elements and three loops (D, anti-codon, and T loops). The record is from RNAcentral.